CGUUGACACGUAUUUUACUUUCAUAGAAAAUAACUUCAAUUUUGCUGCAAAAAUAAAUAUUAAAAUUUAAUUUUUAACAAGUUCCAAUUAGAAUUUUAAUGAGUUAGAACUUAUAUCAAUAUUUUUAUAAUCCUGAAAACAAAGUAAAUAACUUACUUUCUAGCUAUUUGUAGUCCAGCUUUUAAUAGCAAAUCGGCUCGCAAUGAAUUAACCUUGACUUUAACAACCUUGGAAUCUCGUUCGUCUUGAAGGUGAGGGUCAUCGUCAUCAUCAUCACUAUCUGAAUCCUAGGAGAAACAUUAGUUGAGCUAAUAAACCUUUAGAGAAAUUUCAAUCAUACCUCAUAUUUUGAUGAUUGCUUUUUAACUUUUUUACUAAACACUGUACUGGUGUUGAUUAAUUUGACUGCUGGAUAAACAACAAUAUGAGUCUGAUUCUUUGUGUUUUCGUACUUAAGAAUCGCAGGAAGUUCA
Long non-coding RNA from Episyrphus balteatus (marmalade hoverfly), 473 nucleotides. RefSeq lists it as uncharacterized. The transcript has 2 exons. The record is from RefSeq and is a predicted model, not a curated record. Lineage: Eukaryota; Metazoa; Arthropoda; Insecta; Diptera; Syrphidae.